Molecule: ribosomal RNA, 253 nt
Filed under: uncultured bacterium
Lineage: Bacteria
Description: partial 16S ribosomal RNA
Rfam family: Bacterial small subunit ribosomal RNA
Source: RNAcentral
UACGGGGGGGGCAAGCGUUGUUCGGAAUUAUUGGGCGUAAAGGGCUCGUAGGCGGCCAACUAAGUCGGACGUGAAAUCCCCAGGCUCAACCUGGGAACUGCGUCCGAUACUGGAUGGCUUGAAUUCGGGAGAGGGAUGCAGAAUUCCAGGUGUAGCGGUGAAAUGCGUAGAUAUCUGGAGGAAUACCGGUGGCGAAGGCGGCAUCCUGGACCGACAUUGACGCUGAUGAGCGAAAGCUAGGGGAGCAAACGGG